CCAUGCCGCGUGAAGGAUGAAGGCCUAUGGGUCGUAAACUUCUUUUAUACGGGACAAAACCCCUCCUCGUGAGGAGGGUUGAUGGUACUGUAAGAAUAAGGGUCGGCUAACUUCGUGCCAGCAGCCGCGGUAAUACGAAGGACCCGAGCGUUAUCCGGAUUUAUUGGGUUUAAAGGGUGCGUAGGCGGAUUAGUAAGUCAGUGGUGAAAGCCCGUCGCUUAACGGCGGAACUGCCAUUGAUACUGCUAGUCUUGAGUAUGGUUGAGGUGGGCGGAAUGUGUCAUGUAGCGGUGAAAUGCUUAGAUAUGACACAGAACACCAAUUGCGAAGGCAGCUCGCUAAGCCAUAACUGACGCUGAGGCACGAAAGCGUGGGGAGCAAACAGGAUUAGAUACCUGGUAGUCCACGCCCUAAACGAUGAUA
Molecule: ribosomal RNA, 423 nt
Filed under: uncultured bacterium
Lineage: Bacteria
Description: bacterial SSU rRNA
Rfam family: Bacterial small subunit ribosomal RNA
Source: RNAcentral